GGUGAAGUCACAGUGCUUGUGCCCCAGCCUCCCAAGGGCUUUAAUAUUAGUGCACCGCAACUUAGCCGGAUCUUGUUUUUAUUACAAAAUAUGUGCACAGGAAAAUGAUGGUGGUUUUCUCUGGCUGACCAAAUUUUGGAUUCUAGUCAUUCUUCUGUAUCUUUGGAGGACCGACUCUCCAAUUGCCUGUGGAUGCCGAGUGUGCUAUGUGGUUAGAAUCCCCAGGAGGACUCCUUGACACCGAGACGUGGAGUACAUUAAGAUAAGAACGAACUAUCAUUAUUCUGGUGAGAAGAAUGUCUAUUGAACAGAAGGCCUUUCUGUGCUGCCCAGGAUGGAAGGUGGAGGAGACCAACCCACAUGCAUAUUCAGCACAACAGAUUUCCUCCAGUUAUUUCUUUGGUGCACCC
Long non-coding RNA from Mus musculus (house mouse), 410 nucleotides. RefSeq annotates it as predicted gene, 39724. The record is from RefSeq and is a predicted model, not a curated record. NCBI's taxonomy places the organism in Eukaryota, Metazoa, Chordata, Mammalia, Rodentia, Muridae. The transcript is spliced from 3 exons.